UACGGAGGGUGCGAGCGUUAAUCGGAAUGACUGGGCGUAAAGGGCGCGUAGGCGGGAUGAUAAGUCAGAUGUGAAAGGCACGGGCUUAACCUGUGGAAGUCAUAUGAUACUGUUAUUCUGGAGUGUAGUAGAGGGUAGUGGAAUUCACGGUGUAGCGGUGAAAUGCGUAGAUAUCGUGAGGAAUACCGGUGGCGAAGGCGACUAUCUGGACAUACACUGACGCUGAGGCGCGAGAGCGUGGGUAGCAAACAGG
This 253-nucleotide ribosomal RNA is filed under the name uncultured bacterium. Its description in RNAcentral is "partial 16S ribosomal RNA". It matches the Rfam family "Bacterial small subunit ribosomal RNA", at positions 524 to 776 of the family's 1533-position model. The record is from RNAcentral.